RNAcentral lists this ribosomal RNA (395 nucleotides) under uncultured bacterium. RNAcentral's name for it is "bacterial SSU rRNA". It matches the Rfam family "Bacterial small subunit ribosomal RNA", at positions 29 to 409 of the family's 1533-position model. The record is from RNAcentral.
AACGAACGCUGGCGGCGUGCCUAACACAUGCAAGUCGAGCGAGAAAGGGGAGCAAUCCCUGAGUAAAGCGGCAGACGGGUGAGUAACACGUGGGUAAUCUGCCCUCGAGCGGGGAAUAACAUCUCGAAAGAGGUGCUAAUACCGCAUAACAUCCAGGGGCCUGAGGGCUUUUGGAUCAAAGGUGGGGAUCUUCGGACCUACCACUCGAGGAGGAGCCCGCGCCUGAUUAGCUAGUUGGUGGGGUAAUGGCCUACCAAGGCGACGAUCAGUAGCCGGCCUGAGAGGGUGAACGGCCACACUGGAACUGAGACACGGUCCAGACUCCUACGGGAGGCAGCAGUGAGGAAUUUUGCGCAAUGGGCGAAAGCCUGACGCAGCAACGCCGCGUGGACGAU